Molecule: ribosomal RNA, 462 nt
Filed under: uncultured beta proteobacterium
Lineage: Bacteria; Pseudomonadati; Pseudomonadota; Betaproteobacteria
Description: bacterial SSU rRNA
Rfam family: Bacterial small subunit ribosomal RNA
Source: RNAcentral
AGGAAAGCAGGGGAUCGUCAAGACCUUGCGUUAAUGGAGCGGCCGAUAUCUGAUUAGCUAGUUGGUGGGGUAAAGGCCCACCAAGGCUUCGACCAGUGGCUGGUCUGAGAGGACGACCAGCCACACUGGAACUGAGACACGGUCCAGACUCCUACGGGAGGCAGCAGUGGGGAAUUUUGGACAAUGGGCGCAAGCCUGAUCCAGCCAUUCCGCGUGAGUGAAGAAGGCCUUCGGGUUGUAAAGCUCCUUCGCAAGGGAAGAAAACUUACCUUCUAAUAAAGGGUGAGGCUGACGGUACCUUGAUAAGAAGCACCGGCUAACUACGUGCCAGCAGCCGCGGUAAUACGUAGGGUGCGAGCGUUAAUCGGAAUUACUGGGCGUAAAGCGUGCGCAGGCGGUUUUGUAAGUCAGAUGUGAAAGCCCUGGGCUCAACCUGGGAACUGCGUUUGAAACUACAAGGCU